UUAAGCGACUAAGCGUACACGGUGGAUGCCCUGGCAGUCAGAGGCGAUGAAGGACGUGCUAAUCUGCGAAAAGCGUCGGUAAGGUGAUAUGAACCGUUAUAACCGGCGAUGUCCGAAUGGGGAAACCCAGUGCAAUUCGUUGCACUAUCGUUAACUGAAUACAUAGGUUAACGAGGCGAACCGGGGGAACUGAAACAUCUAAGUACCCCGAGGAAAAGAAAUCAACCGAGAUUCCCCCAGUAGCGGCGAGCGAACGGGGAGCAGCCCAGAGUCUGAAUCAGCUUGUGUGUUAGUGGAACGGUCUGGAAAGUCCGACGGUACAGGGUGAUAGUCCCGUACACCAAAAUGCACAGGUUGUGAACUCGAAGAGUAGGGCGGGACACGUGGUAUCCUGUCUGAAUAUGGGGGGACCAUCCUCCAAGGCUAAAUACUCCUGACUGACCGAUAGUGAACCAGUACCGUGAGGGAAAGGCGAAAAGAACCCCGGCGAGGGGAGUGAAAAAGAACCUGAAACCGUGUACGUACAAGCAGUGGGAGCACCUUCGGGUGUGACUGCGUACCUUUUGUAUAAUGGGUCAGCGACUUAUAUUCUGUAGCAAGGUUAACCGUAUAGGGGAGCCGCAGGGAAACCGAGUCUUAACUGGGCGUUAAGUUGCAGGGUAUAGACCCGAAACCCGGUGAUCUAGCCAUGGGCAGGUUGAAGGUUGGGUAACACUAACUGGAGGACCGAACCGACUAAUGUUGAAAAAUUAGCGGAUGACUUGUGGCUGGGGGUGAAAGGCCAAUCAAACCGGGAGAUAGCUGGUUCUCCCCGAAAGCUAUUUAGGUAGCGCCUCGUGAAUUCAUCUUCGGGGGUAGAGCACUGUUUCGGCUAGGGGGUCAUCCCGACUUACCAACCCGAUGCAAACUACGAAUACCGAAGAAUGUUAUCACGGGAGACACACGGCGGGUGCUAACGUCCGUCGUGAAGAGGGAAACAACCCAGACCGCCAGCUAAGGUCCCAAAGUCAUGGUUAAGUGGGAAACGAUGUGGGAAGGCACAGACAGCCAGGAUGUUGGCUUAGAAGCAGCCAUCAUUUAAAGAAAGCGUAAUAGCUCACUGGUCGAGUCGGCCUGCGCGGAAGAUGUAACGGGGCUAAACCAUGCACCGAAGCUGCGGCAGCGACACUAUGUGUUGUUGGGUAGGGGAGCGUUCUGUAAGCCUGCGAAGGUGGCCUGUGAGGGUUGCUGGAGGUAUCAGAAGUGCGAAUGCUGACAUAAGUAACGAUAAAGCGGGUGAAAAGCCCGCUCGCCGGAAGACCAAGGGUUCCUGUCCAACGUUAAUCGGGGCAGGGUGAGUCGACCCCUAAGGCGAGGCCGAAAGGCGUAGUCGAUGGGAAACAGGUUAAUAUUCCUGUACUUGGUGUUACUGCGAAGGGGGGACGGAGAAGGCUAUGUUAGCCGGGCGACGGUUGUCCCGGUUUAAGCAUGUAGGCUGGUUGUCCAGGCAAAUCCGGAUAAUCAAGGCUGAGGUGUGAUGACGAGGCACUACGGUGCUGAAGUAACAAAUGCCCUGCUUCCAGGAAAAGCCUCUAAGCAUCAGGUAACAUCAAAUCGUACCCCAAACCGACACAGGUGGUCAGGUAGAGAAUACCAAGGCGCUUGAGAGAACUCGGGUGAAGGAACUAGGCAAAAUGGUGCCGUAACUUCGGGAGAAGGCACGCUGGUGUGUAGGUGAAGUCCCUGCGGAUGGAGCUGAGACCAGUCGAAGAUACCAGCUGGCUGCAACUGUUUAUUAAAAACACAGCACUGUGCAAACACGAAAGUGGACGUAUACGGUGUGACGCCUGCCCGGUGCCGGAAGGUUAAUUGAUGGGGUUAUCCGUAAGGAGAAGCUCUUGAUCGAAGCCCCGGUAAACGGCGGCCGUAACUAUAACGGUCCUAAGGUAGCGAAAUUCCUUGUCGGGUAAGUUCCGACCUGCACGAAUGGCGUAAUGAUGGCCAGGCUGUCUCCACCCGAGACUCAGUGAAAUUGAACUCGCUGUGAAGAUGCAGUGUACCCGCGGCAAGACGGAAAGACCCCGUGAACCUUUACUAUAGCUUGACACUGAACAUUGAGCCUUGAUGUGUAGGAUAGGUGGGAGGCUUUGAAGCGUGGACGCCAGUCUGCGUGGAGCCAACCUUGAAAUACCACCCUUUAAUGUUUGAUGUUCUAACGUUGGCCCCUUACCGGGGUUGCGGACAGUGUCUGGUGGGUAGUUUGACUGGGGCGGUCUCCUCCCAAAGCGUAACGGAGGAGCACGAAGGUUAGCUAAUCCUGGUCGGACAUCAGGAGGUUAGUGCAAUGGCAUAAGCUAGCUUGACUGCGAGCGUGACGGCGCGAGCAGGUGCGAAAGCAGGUCAUAGUGAUCCGGUGGUUCUGAAUGGAAGGGCCAUCGCUCAACGGAUAAAAGGUACUCCGGGGAUAACAGGCUGAUACCGCCCAAGAGUUCAUAUCGACGGCGGUGUUUGGCACCUCGAUGUCGGCUCAUCACAUCCUGGGGCUGAAGUAGGUCCCAAGGGUAUGGCUGUUCGCCAUUUAAAGUGGUACGCGAGCUGGGUUUAGAACGUCGUGAGACAGUUCGGUCCCUAUCUGCCGUGGGCGCUGGAGAAUUGAGGGGGGCUGCUCCUAGUACGAGAGGACCGGAGUGGACGCAUCACUGGUGUUCGGGUUGUCAUGCCAAUGGCACUGCCCGGUAGCUAAAUGCGGAAGAGAUAAGUGCUGAAAGCAUCUAAGCACGAAACUUGCCCCGAGAUGAGUUCUCCCUGAGACUUUAAGUCUCCUGAAGGAACGUUGAAGACGACGACGUUGAUAGGCCGGGUGUGUAAGCGCAGCGAUGCGUUGAGCUAACCGGUACUAAUGAACCGUGAGGCUUAACCUU
Molecule: ribosomal RNA, 2900 nt
Filed under: Klebsiella pneumoniae
Lineage: Bacteria; Pseudomonadati; Pseudomonadota; Gammaproteobacteria; Enterobacterales; Enterobacteriaceae
Description: bacterial LSU rRNA
Rfam family: Bacterial large subunit ribosomal RNA
Source: RNAcentral